GUGAAUCAUCGAAUCUUUGAACGCACAUUGCACUCUCUGGUAUUCCGGAGAGUAUGCCUAUUUGAGGGUCAUUUGAAACAAUAUAAAUUCCAUGAUUUCUCGGAAUUUAAAAUGGGUUGUUCAUUUUUUGUGUUCGCCUAACAUCCAAGACAAGCUCAUGUUCUUGGUCGGCGUGAUACUUUCAGUUAACUCGUGACUUAACCAUGUAUCAUCGUGCGUUGUAUGAAUUUU
This 231-nucleotide unclassified non-coding RNA is filed under the name Ambisporaceae sp. RNAcentral describes it as "partial contains 5.8S ribosomal RNA and internal transcribed spacer 2". The stretch from base 1 to 71 matches the Rfam family "5.8S ribosomal RNA", at positions 84 to 154 of the family's 154-position model. Lineage: Eukaryota; Fungi; Glomeromycota; Glomeromycetes; Archaeosporales; Ambisporaceae. The record is from RNAcentral.